CAAGUCUGACAGCAUGUUGAACGAGUCCGAGAGCAGCGCGAUGGAGUUGCCCAGGUAACCCGACACCAGCUCGGCCACGAAGAAGGCAGCGGCCCUGUUCCAGGUGACAAUCACUCAAAGGGAACAUGUCCUGGACUUGAGAGUCUACAUUGCAGCCCCUUCAGAAAGGGUAUUUGCUGUUGGUCACUUCGGAGACAGAAGUUGGUACCAUCGACUGAGCAGAAGAAAAACCAGAAAUCAGCAGAAGCAUAUCACUCGUGCCUCCUGGUUAGUCAUUCUCCCAGCCAAAGGCAGAUAAGAAUUGGGUCACUGGCCCAGCAGCAAGACAAUAAGAAUUAGAAAGCCAGAGCCUGAGGACCAGGAGUUGUCACAGGUGUCUGAUGUCCCAGUCCUCAGCCAGGUUCUGACCAUAAAGAAAGACCUGUAAGAUGGGAACAGCCUGAAGCCAGCCAGCAGUCAACAUCACUUUGAACAGGUCGCUGAUAAAGCCAAAUGAGUCCUUUUGAGAGCAGAGGCCAUCUGGAAUUCACCUGUGGUUAUGGACACUGUGACUUUGGACUGCAGGUCUCACCCCUUCUCCAGGUAACAAGGGCAGCCCAGAGAGUCACUACGAUACUGACUGCUGCUUGUCAACUCAGAUCUAGAAUCAGUCCCUUGGGAAAUAUGGGAAAUCCUGAUGGAUUCGCUGCAGUGGGAAGCUAGGCAGCACUAUUCCACGAUCUGGGGUCCUGGGCUGUUCGAAAAGGAGAAAGGGGGUUGAGCAGGGUGUGGAAUUCUCAGCGAUUCCUGAGGGCUCAGAGACAAGCUGCCCUGCCUCCUGCUCCAUGACUUCUUCACUGGGAUACACUGCAUCCUCGAAGACUCAGCUCAAACCAGCCCUUCCUUCCCUGAAUAGCAUUUGUCAGGUGUUCCUCACAGCAAAGAGAAGAACAGUGAAUAGGGGAACUCUUGUACUCAGGGUCUGCCUGUGGAGGUGUGGGCAAGAUAUGUGACUGGGGCAGGAAGAAGAGAGCAUUAGAGACCAAACCAGGAAGCUAGGAAACACCUCCCAUUCAGAGUUCAACACUACAUACUGAUAUCAUGUGAAGUCUGAUGGGUGCGUGCAGGGGGAAGUAGUCAGCUGUGAGACUUCCAAUUCAAAUGAAGGAGAAAGAAUACUCAAAGUUUAAAAAAAUAUAUAGAAAACGUCACCUUGGUGUUUAUUCUAAACCAUAGCCUUAAGGGCAAGUAAAAUUCUGUAUUGUUUCAUAAUGUACAAAAAGAUCGUAUGUACUAUUUGAAGCUCUCAGAACUAACUCACACACACAGCUUUCUUCACUGCUGGACUUACUUUAAACUUUAGACUACGUGAAAAUGAAACUGUCCAUUGUCCAGGAAAAUAUGAGAAAUAGCUGUUCUUAGUUAGAACCCCUGUUGGCUGAGUGUGGCAGUGAAUGCUUGUACACCCCAGCCCUUGGGAGGCAAAGAUAGAAGGGCCACAAGCUCCAGGUCAGCCUGUUCUACACAAAGAGGCUCACACCAUCCUAGACAACAUAGGGAAAUGUUGUCACAAAGACUGUAGUUAGCUAAAACCUCCGGACACGUCCCCAAUGCACCGGUUACAUACCCGUGGAAAAGCAUGGGGACACAUGUGUCAAGAUCUCAGUUCCAGUACCAGCUCUGUCAGAUGUGAGCCUGCCUGUCACUUGUGUUCCCAUUAUGAGCUGGACAUAGGGUAUCACCCUCUUCCAUGGGAAUCAAAUAAAAUAGCAUGUGUGCUCAGCCAACAUACCACCAGCAGAUAAGCUGCAGGCAGCCCCUUCCCAUUAGCAUCUCACUGCCAACCUCCCCAGAACUUGACUUCUUUCACUAAGUAGCGUGGUAAGAGUAUCUUUGAGAGGUAUUUAGAAUGUUACCUUUUUAAUUAAAUUGUCUACUUUCCCUUGGCCAAAUUAAUCUGGUUUAAUUGGCUUAGAACUAACUAGCUACUGGUCAGCAGAGUAUGUUAUAAAACUAAACAUACUUAAAGGGCUAGGGAAUGUAGCCUGGUGGCAUAGAGCCUGCCUGGCAUAUGUAAGACCCUGUGUUCAAUCCCUGCACCACCGUCACAUACACUGUCAACAACAACAAUAGCAAUAGCAACAACAUCAAAACCAGAAGGUUGACUGGACGUUGGAAAGAUGAAGACCAUGUCUUGCUCUUGAAGAAGAUCUAAGCACCCAUGUGAGGUAGCUUAUGAUUUGGUUAUGAGUACCCACCUGAGGUAGCUCCAGGCGAUUGAUCGGAUGCCUUCUCUGGGGCUCUGAGGGCAACAGUGCCCAAAGGUAAACACACCCAGAUACGCACAUGUAUAGUUUAUUCUCUAAAACAUGUA
Long non-coding RNA from Mus caroli (Ryukyu mouse), 2353 nucleotides. RefSeq lists it as uncharacterized. The record is from RefSeq and is a predicted model, not a curated record. Lineage: Eukaryota; Metazoa; Chordata; Mammalia; Rodentia; Muridae.